RNAcentral lists this ribosomal RNA (484 nucleotides) under uncultured bacterium. RNAcentral's name for it is "partial 16S ribosomal RNA". It matches the Rfam family "Bacterial small subunit ribosomal RNA", at positions 30 to 507 of the family's 1533-position model. The record is from RNAcentral.
AUUGAACGCUGGCGGAAUGCUUUACACAUGCCAGUCGAACGGCAGCACGGGGGCAGCCCUGGUGGCGAGUGGCGAACGGGUGAGUAAUACAUCGGAACGUGCCCGGUCGUGGGGGAUAACGUAGCGAAAGUUACGCUAAUACCGCGUACGAUCUGAGGAUGAAAGCGGGGGACCUUCGGGCCUCGCGCGAUCGGAGCGGCCGAUGUCAGAUUAGGUAGUUGGUGGGGUAAAGGCCUACCAAGCCGACGAUCUGUAGCUGGUCUGAGAGGACGACCAGCCACACUGGGACUGAGACACGGCCCAGACUCCUACGGGAGGCAGCAGUGGGGAAUUUUGGACAAUGGGCGCAAGCCUGAUCCAGCCAUUCCGCGUGCAGGACGAAGGCCUUCGGGUUGUAAACUGCUUUUGUACGGAACGAAAAGGCUCUGGCUAAUACCUGGGGCUCAUGACGGUACCGUAAGAAUAAGCACCGGCUAACUACGUG